RNAcentral lists this long non-coding RNA (583 nucleotides) under Equus asinus (donkey). RNAcentral's name for it is "lncRNA (ENSEASG00005025094.1)". Lineage: Eukaryota; Metazoa; Chordata; Mammalia; Perissodactyla; Equidae. The record is from RNAcentral.
UGCAGGAGGUUGAGGUCGCGGCCUUCGUUUCUCCCGGGGAGGACCACGGACACGAUCGUGGUCUCUGCAGCCUCUUCUCCUCCCCCUGCCCUGUCUUCGGAAAGAGGGCUGCAGAGAGGAGGGGGGAGCCCCACCGCCCAGGACUCCGCAUUCGUCUUCCGUGUCGGCUCCGAGUGGUGGAAGAAACACUAGCAAAUGUUUCUGCUACAAAGACACAUUCUUCCCCCAGAGUUUUUUAAAGCAAACUCUGAUGUUGACCCAGCAGACUUAAAAAUUAGCUGUCAUCCGUAGUUUAUCCAUGAGGACCAGGAGAGGCGAGAUUGUGUUAGUUCCCUAGGGCCAUUGUAACAAAAACCACAGACUGAGGGUCUUCAACAAUGGGAAUAUGUUUUCUCACAGUUCUGGAGCCAGAAGUCCGAGAUCAAGGUGUUGGCAGGCUUUGGGGCCCGCUGCUUCAUGGACCUUGUCGUCUUCUCCUCGGAGCGCCCAGCACGAGGUCGGCCGAGGGAAGUUACUCAGUGAACCUCCAACAGCCUCUCAGGAUGGAGAGACGCAUGGAGUUGGUAUCAAGAGGCCUGACCAG